RNAcentral lists this ribosomal RNA (17 nucleotides) under Limnoraphis robusta CCAP 1446/4. Its description in RNAcentral is "partial 16S ribosomal RNA". Lineage: Bacteria; Bacillati; Cyanobacteriota; Cyanophyceae; Oscillatoriales; Sirenicapillariaceae. The record is from RNAcentral.
GGCUGGACACCUCCUUU